RNAcentral lists this long non-coding RNA (1230 nucleotides) under Nicotiana tabacum (common tobacco). Its description in RNAcentral is "long non-coding RNA (NTAB_LNC017209)". Lineage: Eukaryota; Viridiplantae; Streptophyta; Magnoliopsida; Solanales; Solanaceae. The record is from RNAcentral.
GGAAACAAAAAUUCAAAUAUGAACAUAGUUCAUCCCAAAUUCCUAUCAAGAUGAAGUUUACAUACCUAUUAAAAGUGAAUCAAAACUAAAUCCGAAACUGAAAAAUGGAGUUCAACAAUACUAAGCAGCAAGAAGAGUUCCUUUCAAUGCUUCCUCCAACCCAGAAUCAAUAGAACAAACCCAGAAGAUGCUUAAGGAAAUCGAAAAAAAACUAAGAAAAAGCUGAAGAAUUUUUUUUUAUUCUGAUUCUGCCGUCUCCUCUUUUUUUUUCUUCUCCUUUUCUUUUAACCUCUAAUGUGUAUUUAUAGCCCUCUCCAUAGGGCAACAAAUCAAAAUUUUUAAAAUCAAAACCUACCCUUAGCAAAUCUGUUUGUUACUUAAAUUUACCUAAACUUAGCACUAUUUACUCAUUCACACCCCCUCUCUCACCUUCCUAGAACUUUCCUAGGUGGUUAUCAGAUUAUUCUUUGGUCCUAAAAUGCCCUAAACACCCUUACUAACACUGGUAUUUACCUCUCCAAAAAAAAAACUCUCUUAUCCUUAAAACAGAUUGGGCCACAAACCCAACAAAUUUAAACCAAACUCACACUCGUGGACUCUAGUCCGGAUGGAGAAAGGUAGAAAAAUGAUUGACUACGGCAUGACCCCAAAUAAAGAAAAAAGAACGGCAACAAACAUACUGCAAAGAAAGAAAAAAAACGUGAUAAGAACAAAACAGAACAAAAAUGAAAUACUAAAUAAAGAAAGGAAAAACGAAACAAACUGGACAAAAAUUCUAAUGAAAAGGAAAAUAAAAAUUACAUCUUAAUCUCUUUUCCUCUUUUUUUUUACGCAGCAAUGAAAAAAAACUAUACAAAGAAAAUUUUAAACUCCUUGCAUGCAUGACUUGCUCAAGUCUUCUUCGUCAACCCAAGGACGCAUCUCAAACUAAAAACUUUUUGACCAAAUAUGAAAAUAAUGACACAAGUAUGGCCUAAAACAAAUUAGUGGCUAAUACUUUGUGUCACUAUGUCCAUUCUUGCCCCCCCCCCCAAAAAAAAUGCUCCAGAUCCAAAAGACAAGAACAAAAGAGGGACAACCUACUCAUUUGGAUAGAAAAACAAAGGAUUAAAACUUUGGGCGGAUUUGAAAGCCCUGGGCGGCGGCGCCGCCAGCUUGGAGGAGUGGGAGUUUUGGGCGGCUAGGGUUUGCUUUAGAGGGAGAUGGAGGAGAAUGGGGGGUGAUUUUUAG